RNAcentral lists this long non-coding RNA (650 nucleotides) under Mus musculus (house mouse). RNAcentral describes it as "predicted gene 29648". The record is from RNAcentral. Lineage: Eukaryota; Metazoa; Chordata; Mammalia; Rodentia; Muridae.
GGAAAAUGCAUGGAAAUAGAAAAUAUCAUCCCGAGUGAAGUAACCCAGACACCACAGGAGAUAUGUAUGAAUAUAUGGUAUGUACUCACUGAUAAGUGGAUAUUACACAAAAAGUUCAGAAUAUCCAUAAAGAAUUCACAGACCAUAUGAAGCUUAAGAAGAGGGAAAGCACAAAUGUGGAUGCUUCAAUCUCCAAUCUCACUUAGAACAUGGAACAACAUAAUCAUUGGAGGCAGAGGUUGCAAACCUGGAAACCACUUUUGGAAGGAGAGAAACAGCUUCUGAAAGUUGUCCCAUGACCUGCACGUUCAUGAUGUGACGUAUGCAACCACAGAAAUGAAAGCAUAUACAGAGAAACACAAAUGUAGUUACAUUUACAAAAGAAAUUCUGUAGUCUGGUAGAACUCAUUGUUAAAUCCAUCUAGUCCUGGACUUUUAUGGUACUUUCCCUGCCAUGAUACCAUUACCACAUUUCAAGAACAUGAGUUCUUAUAUUGGUUUUCUUUUAUCCCCUUCAUUUAAAUAUGUAGGUAAUAUAUACCUAUAAUUUUUUUCAGUUUCUUCAAGAUUUUAUACUGUUUGUAUUAUUAUUUCAGAAUAAUAUCUUAUGUUUCAUUGAAUUUCUUUGGUAUAUGUUGGACUAUACAUGC